AGUAGUGCGACUGAAACGGGAGGAGCCCAGCGCAUAAGCUCGAUCGAGCGGUGUUGCUAAGGAUCUCCCCUACUGGCGAUGUGUGUGUGUCACUCAUUUAAGUUGAAGCUGUAUCGAUGAAUGCCCUAGCGGGUGUGAGACCACUGACAAGAGGCGCGGAGAAUGGUCAACCGCAGAGUACGCCGACGCCCAGGGGUGCCGGUUGAGUCGGGUUGCCUGAAACGGCAGCCUAAAGAAGGUGGUAAACUCCAUCUAAGGCUAAAUACUCGCACGAGA
RNAcentral lists this ribosomal RNA (276 nucleotides) under Porcellana platycheles. RNAcentral describes it as "partial 28S ribosomal RNA". It matches the Rfam family "Eukaryotic large subunit ribosomal RNA", at positions 82 to 333 of the family's 3401-position model. Lineage: Eukaryota; Metazoa; Arthropoda; Malacostraca; Decapoda; Porcellanidae. The record is from RNAcentral.